This 391-nucleotide unclassified non-coding RNA is filed under the name soil metagenome. Its description in RNAcentral is "partial contains 5.8S ribosomal RNA, internal transcribed spacer 2, and large subunit ribosomal RNA". The stretch from base 1 to 122 matches the Rfam family "5.8S ribosomal RNA", at positions 35 to 154 of the family's 154-position model. The record is from RNAcentral.
GAUGAAGAACGUAGCGAAAUGCGAUACUUGGUGUGAAUUGCAGAAUCCCGUGAACCAUCGAGUCUUUGAACGCAAGUUGCGCCCGAAGCCAUUAGGCCGAGGGCACGCCUGCCUGGGCGUCACACGUCGUUGCCCCCCCAUCUACUCCUUCGGGAUUGCGGGGGGCGGAUGAUGGCCUCCCGUGCGCCUCGUCGUGCGGUUGGCAUAAAUGCCAAGUCCUCGGCGACGCACGCCACGACAAUCGGUGGUUGCGAAACCUCGGUUGCCCGUCGUGUGCGGUCGUCGCGCAUCGAGGGCUCGAAAAAAUUGCCGAGCUCUGUUUCGGCUUUCAACGCGACCCCAGGUCAGGCGGGGUUACCCGCUGAAUUUAAGCAUAUCAAUAAGCGGAGGA